Molecule: transfer RNA, 73 nt
Filed under: Allonocardiopsis opalescens
Lineage: Bacteria; Bacillati; Actinomycetota; Actinomycetes; Streptosporangiales
Rfam family: tRNA
About the family: Transfer RNA (tRNA) molecules are approximately 80 nucleotides in length. Their secondary structure includes four short double-helical elements and three loops (D, anti-codon, and T loops).
Source: Rfam by way of RNAcentral
GCCCUCGUAGCUCAGAGGAUAGAGCGUCGGUUUCCUAAACCGUGCGUCGCAGGUUCGAUUCCUGCCGGGGGCA